UCUUCAAAAAUUCUUUUGCAUUGCAUUGCUUUGAUCUAAAAAACGAGGAGCAUGAGAAUGCAUGCUCCUUAUUUUUCCAAAUCAGCAUUGCUAUGAUUCGUGCCGAUCAUUUCAGCAAAAUACUGCAUCAAUGAUGCAAAUCAAUCACAAUGCUUCACACUGGUUGAGUGCGCUACAUGAGCUUGCGAACACUCAUGGUAGGCCUAGCAACCAGGUCGUGUUGUUAGCGACUGAAAAUUUUCGUAAUUUUCAUUAUCACCGAAUUUGUGCCAGUUGAAAGUCGGGAAUGUUUGAGUGGUGGCGCUAUCCAGCAAAUAGAGGGCAUCAGGAAAACAUUGAGAAUUGUGGGAAUCGACGCGUUGAUGGAUCGUUUCUGCCAGCUAUCUGCUCGCUCAAUUACGGAUGUUGUUGGUCCACGUUUUUCUUCAACCUGAAGUUACCAGCCAUGCAUUUUCUCUAUGUUAGCUUUAACAAUAAAUUAGUAUCUUAAA
Long non-coding RNA from Aedes albopictus (Asian tiger mosquito), 491 nucleotides. RefSeq lists it as uncharacterized. The record is from RefSeq and is a predicted model, not a curated record. NCBI's taxonomy places the organism in Eukaryota, Metazoa, Arthropoda, Insecta, Diptera, Culicidae. The transcript has 2 exons.